GGUAGGAUUAAAUGGGAUAAUGGUUUGGAGUGAAAAUUAAAAGUUGGGAAGUGACUUGUCAUGUGUUGUUGCUACAAAUUGAAAAGAGAUGAGAAGGCCUUUUUCUAUGCCGUUAGUACCUGAAAUGAUCGUGUUUUGCCCUAUCCAGUAGGCAAGAAUAAAUAUAAAUUAAUUCAUGAAAUAUUAUGAUUAAUUCUAAAUUGUUGUUUAGUUGUAUUUAACUGCAAUUCAUGUAGUUGAGGAAGAUAUAAUUGUGUGCCAUUUAAUUUCUACUCACUGGAUACUCAUUCCAUUUGUAUUUUGUUCUCCCUUCUAUUUAUAUGAUUUUCUUGGUUUUCAUGAAGAUGAUUUUGAAUAUAUGUUGCAUA
RNAcentral lists this unclassified non-coding RNA (368 nucleotides) under Hevea brasiliensis (rubber tree). Lineage: Eukaryota; Viridiplantae; Streptophyta; Magnoliopsida; Malpighiales; Euphorbiaceae. The record is from RNAcentral.